CCAAGGAGUCUAACAUGUGCGCGAGUCAUUGGGUCUUAUAAAGCCUAAAGGCGUAAUGAAAGUGAAGGUCUUCCUUAGCGUUGGCCGAGGGAGGAUGGCUCGUAUCACGAUUCGAGCCCGCACUCCCGGGGCGUCUCGUGCUCAUUGCGAGCAGAGGCGCACCCAGAGCGUACACGUUGGGACCCGAAAGAUGGUGAACUAUGCCUGGUCAGGACGAAGUCAGGGGAAACCCUGAUGGAGGUCCGUAGCGAUUCUGACGUGCAAAUCGAUCGUCGGAACUGGGUAUAGGGGCGAAAGACUAAUCGAACCAUC
This 312-nucleotide ribosomal RNA is filed under the name Encarsia guadeloupae. Its description in RNAcentral is "eukaryotic LSU rRNA". It matches the Rfam family "Eukaryotic large subunit ribosomal RNA", at positions 666 to 944 of the family's 3401-position model. Lineage: Eukaryota; Metazoa; Arthropoda; Insecta; Hymenoptera; Aphelinidae. The record is from RNAcentral.